Molecule: non-coding RNA, 30 nt
Filed under: Mus musculus (house mouse)
Lineage: Eukaryota; Metazoa; Chordata; Mammalia; Rodentia; Muridae
Source: RNAcentral
UACAGACCUGGUUGAGAUCACCAGCCACCC